RNAcentral lists this ribosomal RNA (253 nucleotides) under uncultured bacterium. RNAcentral's name for it is "partial 16S ribosomal RNA". It matches the Rfam family "Bacterial small subunit ribosomal RNA", at positions 524 to 776 of the family's 1533-position model. The record is from RNAcentral.
UACGGGGGGGGCAAGCGUUGUUCGGAAUCACUGGGCGUAAAGGGUGCGUAGGCGGGUCUUUAAGUCAGGGGUGAAAUCCUGGAGCUCAACUCCAGAACUGCCUUUGAUACUGAAGAUCUUGAGUUCGGGAGAGGUGAGUGGAACUGCGAGUGUAGAGGUGAAAUUCGUAGAUAUUCGCAAGAACACCAGUGGCGAAGGCGGCUCACUGGAUCGGUACUGACGCUGAGGUGCGAAAGCGUGGGGAGCAAACAGG